UAGGGAAUCUUCGGCAAUGGGGGGAACCCUGACCGAGCAACGCCGCGUGAGUGAAGAAGGUUUUCGGAUCGUAAAGCUCUGUUGUUAAGGAAGAACGAGUGUGAGAAUGGAAAGUUCAUACUGUGACGGUACUUAAUCAGAAAGGGACGGCUAACUACGUGCCAGCAGCCGCGGUAAUACGUAGGUCCCGAGCGUUGUCCGGAUUUAUUGGGCGUAAAGCGAGCGCAGGCGGUUAGAUAAGUCUGAAGUUAAAGGCAGUGGCUCAACCAUUGUAGGCUUUGGAAACUGUUUAACUUGAGUGCAGAAGGGGAGAGUGGAAUUCCAUGUGUAGCGGUGAAAUGCGUAGAUAUAUGGAGGAACACCGGUGGCGAAAGCGGCUCUCUGGUCUGUAACUGACGCUGAGGCUCGAAAGCGUGGGGAGCGAACAGG
Molecule: ribosomal RNA, 429 nt
Filed under: Bacteroidota bacterium
Lineage: Bacteria; Pseudomonadati; Bacteroidota
Description: Bacteroidetes bacterium partial 16S ribosomal RNA
Rfam family: Bacterial small subunit ribosomal RNA
Source: RNAcentral